RNAcentral lists this ribosomal RNA (443 nucleotides) under uncultured bacterium. RNAcentral's name for it is "partial 16S ribosomal RNA". It matches the Rfam family "Bacterial small subunit ribosomal RNA", at positions 338 to 795 of the family's 1533-position model. The record is from RNAcentral.
CCUACGGGUGGCAGCAGUGGGGGAUAUUGGACAAUGGGGGAAACCCUGAUCCAGCGACGCCGCGUGAGUGAAGAAGUAUUUCGGUAUGUAAAGCUCUAUCAGCAGGGAAGAAAGAAAUGACGGUAGCUGAGUAAGAAGCGCCGGCUAACUACGUGCCAGCAGCCGCGGUAAUACGUAGGGGGCAGGCGUUAUCAGGAAUUACUGGGUGUAAAGGGCGCGUAGGCGGUAAUGCAAGUCUGGAGUGAAAGGCGGGGGGCGCACCCCGGGACUGCUGUGGAAACUGGGGAACUGGAGUGCAGGAGAGGUAGGCGGAAUGCGGGGUGGAGAGGUGAAAUGCGUAGAUAUUAGGAGGAACGCCGGGGGAGAGGGCGGCCUGUCGGAGUCUAACGGCCGGUGAGGCUCGAAAGCGUGGGGAGCAAACAGGAUUAGAGACCCGGGUAGUC